GCGCCACUAGUUUAGUGGUAGAAUAUAUCGUUGCCAACGAUGUGACCGGGGUUCGAUUCCCCGGUGGCGCA
RNAcentral lists this transfer RNA (71 nucleotides) under Candidatus Pacearchaeota archaeon. RNAcentral's name for it is "tRNA-Gly". It matches the Rfam family "tRNA". Rfam says of the family: Transfer RNA (tRNA) molecules are approximately 80 nucleotides in length. Their secondary structure includes four short double-helical elements and three loops (D, anti-codon, and T loops). Lineage: Archaea; Nanobdellati. The record is from RNAcentral.